GCCCCUGUAGCUCAAUGGUAGGGCGUCACUUUCCUACUCGUCACGUGAUGCACGCGAACGCAUUGAGCGACAAUGGAAUAGGUGAAGAUUGCGGGUUCGAGUCCCGUCAGAGGUA
Non-coding RNA from Steccherinum ochraceum, 115 nucleotides. The record is from the annotation of a GenBank genome assembly. NCBI's taxonomy places the organism in Eukaryota, Fungi, Basidiomycota, Agaricomycetes, Polyporales, Steccherinaceae.